Molecule: non-coding RNA, 72 nt
Organism: Pangasius djambal
Lineage: Eukaryota; Metazoa; Chordata; Actinopteri; Siluriformes; Pangasiidae
Source: the annotation of a GenBank genome assembly
GUGGAUGUAGCUCAGUGGUAGAGUGCAUACUUUGCAUGUAUGAGGCCCCAGGUUCAAUUUACGACUUGACCU